This is an RNA transcript of Homo sapiens (human), 4044 nucleotides long. It is a transcript of the gene named protection of telomeres 1, with no coding region annotated. The record is from RefSeq and is marked reviewed. The transcript has 20 exons. Lineage: Eukaryota; Metazoa; Chordata; Mammalia; Primates; Hominidae.
AAACUCUUCCUAGGGUUCUUUCUAGAGUACGGCAGCAAGUUGUCAGAUUCCCUAGUUGAAUUUGCUUUGGACAUCAGUGUGAAGCAGAACUGAUAUGCCACUUGAAUUAAUAAAGGAAGUCAAUGGGGUGCCUGAAGUUCAGCCGCUGAGUAAAUUACAUAAAGUAGAUUUCGGAUCCCUACAGCCAGGUUACAAUUAUAGCAAGAAAUAUAUUCAGGGAAAACUUUCACUUAUCUCUUCUUUAACUUAUCGUGGAAAUAAAACAGCUGUUUUGCAGAUUGGACUACAAGGACACCAUUGCAGUGGCUAGAUUUAUUGUUUUUUUAGCUUCUUCAUCUACAAGCAGAGAUGGUAAACCUUGCAUAUUUUUGAAAGCAUUUGAAGACCUCAAAUCAACUGUUUAUGUUUAUGUCAAAUCUUUAAGAGAUUUUUCUACAGAAUCAAUGUCUUUGGUUCCAGCAACAAAUUAUAUAUAUACACCCCUGAAUCAACUUAAGGGUGGUACAAUUGUCAAUGUCUAUGGUGUUGUGAAGUUCUUUAAGCCCCCAUAUCUAAGCAAAGGAACUGAUUAUUGCUCAGUUGUAACUAUUGUGGACCAGACAAAUGUAAAACUAACUUGCCUGCUCUUUAGUGGAAACUAUGAAGCCCUUCCAAUAAUUUAUAAAAAUGGAGAUAUUGUUCGCUUUCACAGGCUGAAGAUUCAAGUAUAUAAAAAGGAGACUCAGGGUAUCACCAGCUCUGGCUUUGCAUCUUUGACGUUUGAGGGAACUUUGGGAGCCCCUAUCAUACCUCGCACUUCAAGCAAGUAUUUUAACUUCACUACUGAGGACCACAAAAUGGUAGAAGCCUUACGUGUUUGGGCAUCUACUCAUAUGUCACCGUCUUGGACAUUACUAAAAUUGUGUGAUGUUCAGCCAAUGCAGUAUUUUGACCUGACUUGUCAGCUCUUGGGCAAAGCAGAAGUGGACGGAGCAUCAUUUCUUCUAAAGGUAUGGGAUGGCACCAGGACACCAUUUCCAUCUUGGAGAGUCUUAAUACAAGACCUUGUUCUUGAAGGUGAUUUAAGUCACAUCCAUCGGCUACAAAAUCUGACAAUAGACAUUUUAGUCUACGAUAACCAUGUUCAUGUGGCAAGAUCUCUGAAGGUUGGAAGCUUUCUUAGAAUCUAUAGCCUUCAUACCAAACUUCAAUCAAUGAAUUCAGAGAAUCAGACAAUGUUAAGUUUAGAGUUUCAUCUUCAUGGAGGUACCAGUUACGGUCGGGGAAUCAGGGUCUUGCCAGAAAGUAACUCUGAUGUGGAUCAACUGAAAAAGGAUUUAGAAUCUGCAAAUUUGACAGCCAAUCAGCAUUCAGAUGUUAUCUGUCAAUCAGAACCUGACGACAGCUUUCCAAAUGGAGUCUCGCUUCGUCCUCCAGGCUGGAGUUCAGUGGCACGGUCUCGGCUCAUUGCAGCCUCCACCUCCUGAGUUCAAGCUUCUCCUGCCUCAGCCUCCCAAGUAGCUGGGAUUACAGGCUCUGGAUCAGUAUCAUUAUACGAGGUAGAAAGAUGUCAACAGCUAUCUGCUACAAUACUUACAGAUCAUCAGUAUUUGGAGAGGACACCACUAUGUGCCAUUUUGAAACAAAAAGCUCCUCAACAAUACCGCAUCCGAGCAAAAUUGAGGUCAUAUAAGCCCAGAAGACUAUUUCAGUCUGUUAAACUUCAUUGCCCUAAAUGUCAUUUGCUGCAAGAAGUUCCACAUGAGGGCGAUUUGGAUAUAAUUUUUCAGGAUGGUGCAACUAAAACCCCAGAUGUCAAGCUACAAAAUACAUCAUUAUAUGAUUCAAAAAUCUGGACCACUAAAAAUCAAAAAGGACGAAAAGUAGCAGUUCAUUUUGUGAAAAAUAAUGGUAUUCUCCCGCUUUCAAAUGAAUGUCUACUUUUGAUAGAAGGAGGUACACUCAGUGAAAUUUGCAAACUCUCGAACAAGUUUAAUAGUGUAAUUCCUGUGAGAUCUGGCCACGAAGACCUGGAACUUUUGGACCUUUCAGCACCAUUUCUUAUACAAGGAACAAUACAUCACUAUGGAUGUAAACAGUGUUCUAGUUUGAGAUCCAUACAAAAUCUAAAUUCCCUGGUUGAUAAAACAUCGUGGAUUCCUUCUUCUGUGGCAGAAGCACUGGGUAUUGUACCCCUCCAAUAUGUGUUUGUUAUGACCUUUACACUUGAUGAUGGAACAGGAGUACUAGAAGCCUAUCUCAUGGAUUCUGACAAAUUCUUCCAGAUUCCAGCAUCAGAAGUUCUGAUGGAUGAUGACCUUCAGAAAAGUGUGGAUAUGAUCAUGGAUAUGUUUUGUCCUCCAGGAAUAAAAAUUGAUGCAUAUCCGUGGUUGGAAUGCUUCAUCAAGUCAUACAAUGUCACAAAUGGAACAGAUAAUCAAAUUUGCUAUCAGAUUUUUGACACCACAGUUGCAGAAGAUGUAAUCUAAUAUUGCCAUCCAAUUUAGCAUACAUAAAAUGUUGCCACUCACCUUCCCUGUUUGAGCUUCUUUUCCUGACCUGAGUUUUGUAUCAGCAAUGUUGAUGAUGUUAGCAUGGGUAUGGGAUUAGAAAAUGUCCUUACCUUAAAUCUCUUGGCUUUUACUGGGUGCAAGGUAAAUAAUGGCUAUGGAUUUUGUUUUGCUUUCUGUUUUGCUUUUGUACAAAGAGACCUGCUUAAACAAGUACUGCUGAGAUAAGUGUCUGAUCAAGCUACAGUGUACUUUAAGUAGAAAUGGCAAAGUUGCUUUGUUGGGGUGCUGAUACUGAUGAUUUUAGGAUAAAUUCAUUUCUUUAAACUUGUAAUACAUGGUUUUAUUGCUUGUUUCUCUCCAGGAUAGUAGAGAUUUCUCUAUUUCACCUCAACCUAAUAAAAGUGGUCAGAUUUAUAAUGUUAAUGACUUAAUAUUAUCCUUUUCUAAUAGUCUCAUGUAAAAUAUGCCGCUAUUACAACUUACAACUAAUUGAAUGAGAUGUUAACUUAGUAAAAUAGUUUGAUUUUUACCUGACAGUGUUUGUCAAAUUUAAAAUCAUGAAUAUUCAAUUUUAUACAAACAUUUAUAUAUAUAUAUAUAGAUUUGUGUAUGUUAUUUGCCAAAGACAGAUAUAAAUUACCUGGUUUAAUAUUAGUGAAGAAUAAAUAAGUGCACACAUUUCAACUGUUUCAUUUAUUUGCCCUAAGUUGAGCUGAAAAAUGAUAUGAGGCAAAGAAUCGAAAUAGGUGUGGCAAUGCAGCAGAUGUUUAGGGCUGUCUACAUCCCAGGUACUGUGCUAAGCACUAAACAUGUAUUUGAUCCUCACAGCAACCUAUUUUUCCGAUAAGAAAUCUGAGGCUUGAUUGAUAAGCUGACUUGACUAAGUUCACACAGUUUGUAAAAGCUAGAGUCUGUGCCUUAAUUCACAUAAUCUCUAUUCAGAGCCUGUACUGUUAACCACUCAAGGAUUCUGGAACAGAAGCUAACAGUUUUCUGCAACGAGUCUUUGACUUAAACAUCUGAAAUAACAUUGGAAAUAGAUUAUAAGAGGAGUCAGUGUGUUUUUCUAUAGUUUCAAAAUACUUUUAACAUCUUAUUGUCAAAAAGAUUGGAUAACUGACUUUCUUUGCUCAUAAUAACUCUAAAUUCUAGUUCCUGAGUACAUUAACACAUCUUCUUUACCUAACUACCAAUGUCCCCCAUCAUCGACUUAUCAGCUUGUUUGAGACAAUGAGAAAGACUGAUUUUAUUUUCAAGAAUAUAGACUCUUGGUUCAAAACAUUUUCAGGAAAAAUAUUUUAAAACCCUACAGUUGAACAGGUGUGUUUCCGUGUUGAUGAUGUGCUCAGGAUACAAAGGUGAAAUAAACAUUUUUUCUGCCUUCAGGAAGCCCUCAAUCUAGAAGAGUAGAGGUCCAAAGGUGCCAUAUGUUCACACUGUGAGCCUGCAAGAUCUCCACGUUAACAAAGGAAAACUCUUCCUAUGAAUCUUCAUGAUGAUAGGCCAUGUCUCUUCUUAUUUUUGUUUUAAAUAAACAUCCACCUUAUCAUGA